UAUUAAACUUGCUUCUAUGCGUUAGCGGCGGACGGGUGAGUACACGUGGGCACCUGCCUGUAAGACUGGGAUAACUUCGGGAAACCGAAGCUAAUACCGGAUAGGAUCUUCUCCUUCAUGGGAGAUGAUUGAAAGAUGGUUUCGGCUAUCACUUACAGAUGGGCCCGCGGUGCAUUAGCUAGUUGGUGAGGUAACGGCUCACCAAGGCAACGAUGCAUAGCCGACCUGAGAGGGUGAUCGGCCACACUGGGACUGAGACACGGCCCAGACUCCUACGGGAGGCAGCAGUAGGGAAUCUUCCGCAAUGGACGAAAGUCUGACGGAGCAACGCCGCGUGAGUGAUGAAGGCUUUCGGGUCGUAAAACUCUGUUGUUAGGGAAGAACAAGUACGAGAGUAACUGCUCGUACCUUGACGGUACCUAACCAGAAAGCCACGGCUAACUACGUGCCAGCAGCCGCGGUAAUACGUANGUGGCAAGCGUUUCCGAUUUU
This 492-nucleotide ribosomal RNA is filed under the name Bacillus sp. enrichment culture clone A2g. RNAcentral's name for it is "bacterial SSU rRNA". It matches the Rfam family "Bacterial small subunit ribosomal RNA", at positions 72 to 545 of the family's 1533-position model. Lineage: Bacteria; Bacillati; Bacillota; Bacilli; Caryophanales; Bacillaceae. The record is from RNAcentral.